AGCCUGGGGUCCGAAGGUAGUGAGUUAAGGCAACUGAUUGUUCAUAGCCAGUUACAGAUUUAACUCCUUGUUCUACUCUUUCCCUUCUUCUCACUACUACACUUGACUAGUUUUAA
Cercocebus atys (sooty mangabey) is the source of this 116-nucleotide unclassified non-coding RNA. It matches the Rfam family "Y RNA". Rfam says of the family: Y RNAs are components of the Ro ribonucleoprotein particle (Ro RNP), in association with Ro60 and La proteins. The Y RNAs and Ro60 and La proteins are well conserved, but the function of the Ro RNP is not known. The record is from Ensembl. Lineage: Eukaryota; Metazoa; Chordata; Mammalia; Primates; Cercopithecidae.